AUUGAACGCUGGCGGCAGGCCUAACACAUGCAAGUCGAGCGGAUGAAGGGAGCUUGCUCCUGGAUUCAGCGGCGGACGGGUGAGUAAUGCCUAGGAAUCUGCCUGGUAGUGGGGGAUAACGUCCGGAAACGGGCGCUAAUAACGCCUACGUCCUGCGGGAGCAAGUGGGGGAUCUUCGGACCUCACGCUAUCAGAUGAGCCUAGGUCGGAUUAGCUAGUUGGUGGGGUAAAGGCCUACCAAGGCGAGGAGCCGUAACUGGUCUGAGAGGAUGAUCAGUCACACUGGAACGGAGACACGGUCCAGACUCCUACGGGAGGCAGCAGUGGGGAAUAUUGGACAAUGGGCGAAAGCCUGAUCCAGCCAUGCCGCGUGUGUGAAGAAGGUCUUCGGAUUGUAAAGCACUUUAAGUUGGGAGGAAGGGCAGUAAGUUAAUACCUUGCUGUUUUGACGUUACCAACAGAAUAAGCACCGGCUAACUUCGCG
Molecule: ribosomal RNA, 484 nt
Filed under: uncultured bacterium
Lineage: Bacteria
Description: partial 16S ribosomal RNA
Rfam family: Bacterial small subunit ribosomal RNA
Source: RNAcentral